This 118-nucleotide non-coding RNA is filed under the name Geothermobacter hydrogeniphilus. Its description in RNAcentral is "Geothermobacter sp. EPR-M Molybdenum/Tungsten riboswitch aptamer (Moco RNA motif)". It matches the Rfam family "Molybdenum/Tungsten riboswitch aptamer (Moco RNA motif)". RNAcentral also lists the same sequence under 1 other name. The record is from Rfam by way of RNAcentral. Lineage: Bacteria; Pseudomonadati; Thermodesulfobacteriota; Desulfuromonadia; Desulfuromonadales; Geothermobacteraceae.
CAAUCUACUGCUCUCCGAGCCGCAUCACCUAAAGGGCAACCCAGGGUGAACGGCCAAUGGGUACGGUCGGAAACAGCCGUGCCUCCCACGCUUGGAAAGGAGAACUCAAACCGAUGCA